GGUCCCUUCGUCAGCGGCGGACGGGGCUGAGAUUACGUGGGUAACCUGCCUGUAAGACUGGGAUAACUCCGUGAAACCGGGGCUAAUACCGGAUGCUUGAUUGAACCGCAUGGUUCAAUCUGAAAGGUGGCUUUUAGCUACCGCUUACAGAUGGACCCGCGGCGCAUUAGCUAGUUGGUGAGGUAACGGCUCACCAAGGCGACGAUGCGUAGCCGACCUGAGAGGGUGAUCGGCGACACUGGGACUGAGACACGGCCCAGACUCCUACGGGAGGCAGCAGUAGGGAAUCUUCCGCAAUGGACGAAAGUCUGACGGAGCAACGCCGCGUGAGUGAUGAAGGUUUUCGGAUCGUAAAACUCUGUUGUUAGGGAAGAACAAGUACCGUUCGAAUAGGGCGGUACCUUGACGGUACCUAACCAGAAAGCCACGGCUAACUACGUGCCAGCAGCCGCGGUAAUACGUAGUGGCAAGCGUUGUCCGGAAUUAUUGGGCGUAAAGCGCGCGCAGCGGUUUCUUAAGUCUGAUGUGAAAGCCCCCGGCUCAACCGGGGAGGGUCAUUGGAAACUGGGGAACUUGAGUGCAGAAGAGAGAGUGGAAUUCCACGUGUAGCGGUGAAUUGCGUAGAGAUGGGAGGAACCCCAGUGGCGAAGCGACUCUCUGGUCUGUACUGACGCUGAGGGC
This 681-nucleotide ribosomal RNA is filed under the name Bacillus licheniformis. RNAcentral describes it as "bacterial SSU rRNA". It matches the Rfam family "Bacterial small subunit ribosomal RNA", at positions 82 to 752 of the family's 1533-position model. The record is from RNAcentral. Lineage: Bacteria; Bacillati; Bacillota; Bacilli; Caryophanales; Bacillaceae.